GACGAACGCUGGCGGCGUGCUUAACACAUGCAAGUCGAACGGAAAAGCCCUGCUUGCAGGGUACUCGAGUGGCGAACGGGUGAGUAACACGUGGGUGAUCUGCCCUGCACUUCGGGAUAAGCCUGGGAAACUGGGUCUAAUACCGGAUAGGAGCCAUUUUUAGUGUGAUGGUUGGAAAGUUUUUUCGGUGUAGGAUGAGCUCGCGGCCUAUCAGCUUGUUGGUGGGGUAAUGGCCUACCAAGGCGGCGACGGGUAGCCGGCCUGAGAGGGUGGACGGCCACAUUGGGACUGAGAUACGGCCCAGACUCCUACGGGAGGCAGCAGUGGGGAAUAUUGCACAAUGGGCGCAAGCCUGAUGCAGCGACGCCGCGUGGGGGAUGACGGCCUUCGGGUUGUAAACUCCUUUCGCUAGGGACGAAGCUUUUUGUGACGGUACCUAGAUAAGAAGCACCGGCUAACUACGUG
Molecule: ribosomal RNA, 465 nt
Filed under: uncultured bacterium
Lineage: Bacteria
Description: partial 16S ribosomal RNA
Rfam family: Bacterial small subunit ribosomal RNA
Source: RNAcentral